UUGACGUAGAAAUAUCUCAUUGGUCAGCCCCUCUCUCUCCCUCGUCUCUUCUCAUCUCGUUCCUCUUCUCCCAUGCCGCCGCCUCUUCCCCCUCCCUCUCGGCCGCCUCAUCACCACCCCCUCCUCCUCCCCUGCCUCCUCACCCGAUUAGCAUGUCCAGGCGACGACCUGCAAGCAAAGGGAGACAAUGAUGGCUCUCGAUUCGUUCUGCAGGAAAGAAAGGAUGAGAGGGAGAGAGAGAAGGGAGGAGAGGAGGGAGAAAGAGAUAGAAGAAAGGAAAGGGAGGUGCUCUGGCCGCUCAUCUAGGCCUCGGUGGUCCAGGGAGGCGUAGAUGGCAAAUUUUUUAUUCCAGCCUCCGUCAUGAUCCAUCAGAUCCGCAAAUCAUCCGAGGCCCCACGAACACCAGGUGUUUGGCGCCGCCCCCAGGAGCUCUCACCGCCUCCCGAGGACCUCCUCUCCUUUGCUGCCCCGAGGGAUGCCUUGAACUCCUCUGUCCAUGGUGAGCAGAGGGCCAAACCUCAACGUGAGCUCCUCAUACCUAAAAGUGUGGUUUCUUUUUCCAUAAAAGCAUUUACAUCUGAAGCUUUUUUUCUCACACCCCAACCUGGAUUUCUGACUGACUUGAUGUAAUUUUUCAUACCCUUGCUUCACUAACAUAUCAAUAAAAGGGAGGAGUAAUAUAUACCCAGUUUGUUUGUUUGAAGGAUGCAACAACAUGCAAAAAUAAUUUUGCCGGUGGUCAAACCCCUCUUCUACUGUUGUGGUAUUGUAAGUUUGCACGGUGCAGCAGCCUGGAGAGGCGGCCAACAACGCACGUGUGAAGCAACAAUAAACACGGCUGAUGUGCUCUGCUUCCCCCUCUCUUUUUUAAUUAAUGGAUCUCUUACUGAGCGGAGCAUUUCUUUAGGUUGGCAGCACAAAUGAUAUAGCUAAAUUAUCUUCCAUCAUAAUUAAAUAAUUCUUGGCACUGUCAAUGAUACAUUAGAUAGCCGUAUGGAAUUUUUUUAUAUGUUUGUGAAGCAAGGGAUUUUUAGGGAUUUCGGGGAAUAUGAUGAAUUGUUGUUGAUUUCAUAGUUUCCUGAUUAUUAUGUUUUCAACCCUGUCAAGAUGUAAAUAUAAAUUGAUGUUGCUGCUGGCUUCCUAAGUCUUCCAAGGUGAUAAUUGUGUAAUCUUUUUAAAAUUUGCAAUGAAAAAAUAUUCUUUCCGUUGUUUAUCCUAUAGAGUUCAGUACCAUGUGUAGGAAAACCUUUGUUUAGAACAAAAACCAUUUCCUUUGUUUAUGCUUGAUUGUCCAAUAUCACAUUAGGUAGAUGGGUUUAUUGAGAUGUACAUAUGUGAUGAUUUUCAGGUGUUCAAACACCAAAUUGCAUCUGGCGGACUAUCUACGAUGUUGUGGCAUUGGACUAUGAGAAAGUUACAGUCUUUAUUGAUGCAACAGUUGUUGCAAGGCCAAAUAUCCAUUUGGCAAGUAUUAGAGAUAUGAGGACUAUCGUCGUGGAAAGACCAACCUUGGAAGAGUGGCGCCGUUGUGUUGCUCGUGGUGUAUUUCAUUCUUGGCACCGAAGUGGCAUACAUGCUUAGGUGCAUCGGAGUCAAAAAAACAUGCUGCUACCUCUUGCUGUCUGUCCAUCCGGCAUAUAACUUCUAAUCUGUCCAAUAUACAGUUUUUUUUGUUUUGGACUGCACCCUUAUAAUUUUGCUUUGCUGAAUUCACUAUGUUUACUUCAGUUCGCUUUUGAGUUAGCAAUAAUGACUAGUUAACAAUGUUUUAGCUGAUGAUUCCGGACAGUAUCGACCGGUUCAUUGAGCAGAGUGGUGGGAAGCUCCAGAACACCCUUUCCAAAUAUAAUUUCCUUUUCAUCA
RNA transcript from Triticum aestivum (bread wheat), 1863 nucleotides. It is a transcript of the gene named probable inactive nicotinamidase At3g16190, with no coding region annotated. Lineage: Eukaryota; Viridiplantae; Streptophyta; Magnoliopsida; Poales; Poaceae. The record is from RefSeq and is a predicted model, not a curated record. The transcript has 3 exons.